Molecule: long non-coding RNA, 5582 nt
Organism: Cuculus canorus (common cuckoo)
Lineage: Eukaryota; Metazoa; Chordata; Aves; Cuculiformes; Cuculidae
Exons: 6
Source: RefSeq, a predicted model, not a curated record
CAAGUUCAAGUGGGACUCAUUCCAAACACUGACCAAUUUUAUCCUGACUCCAAUUUUUCUUUGACCUUUCCUGACUAAUGCAAAAUGAAGCUAGCUGUGUGGAGAGGUUUUUUUCAGUGUUUAUACUGUAAGAGUCAUGCUGACUCAAACAGAACCAGGUUUGUGCACUUCCAGCGAGCCACAUAAUAGAUCCUUUGAGAGGAGCAGUGAAGGUAAUGGGGAAGGUCAUUGACACUCAGUCUGUACAUGCCAAGAGGAUGCAGACAAACAGUUGUGUGAAUUCAUAUGAGUUAAAAACACCUGAUCACACGACACAAGAGGGCAGCUUGGAAACAGGAAGAACAGCAAAGUUCUGGGACUUCCGACAGAAAGCCAUAGGUAUACAGACAAACACACACUUCACUUUUGCAAUCAAAUUUUAUCCAUUAGGUGCUAAAAUAGUCUUACGGACUCUAAUUUGUCAAUCACUUUGGCUGAGCCUCUCUGCACUUUUGAAUCCCUUCUCCAGAAUGCGUGGUGUCAUUGUAAUCCGUAAGUCUUAUGACACAGUUGGAGAUUCUGGGUCAUCAUCACCUCUGGGUGAAUGAUUUCACUGUCACUCCUAUGAUAGAUUAAGAUUAGGAGAAUAAUAACUGCUUUGAGCCUUGUCCUAAAUGAGGCUGCCGGGCUCUGUCUCUGUAAAAUCAGUGGAGGGAAGGAGAUGUGAUAGUAAAGUCAGGCACCUACUGUAGGUGGUCUGCUCACCUACAGAUCACAACCACCUUGUUCAAUGUGACUGAGCUCUGGCUGCCCUAGACAGCAGGGGAUGUAUUUACUCAUCUCUCACUUCAUCUUUAUGUGCUAUGGUAGGCAGAAUAACUCAGUCAGCUAUCAGUGUGAGAUUUAUUUCACCCAAUGCUAGUCAUCUAAAAACUGAGAGAUCAGCAUAAAAAGGUCAUCCAGGCUCCCCCUCAGCUUCAACCACUUUUGUCCAUAACAGGCCCCUUAGGUCUUAGGAUGGAUGAAGUAAUUCACCUUUUCUGCCUCCCCGUGUGGAGGAGAGAGAGCUGAGAUAGCAAGUUUUCACAAGAUGUCUCAAAUCCUGAGUGCUUACUAGGCAAAGUGAAAGUAGCUCUACUUCAAUUUGCCCUUCCCUGAUGUCCCCCGGUUUCAGUGUGGGUACUGUUCUGUUUACCUUCAAACUCCUCACUUUGGGGAAGAGCUGAUUCUGUGUGAAGACAAUGUUUCCAACAAGGCUGUGCUUCUCUAACAGAUGUAAUGCCAGUAGGACUAUUCACAUGAAUUAGGUUACAUGUGUAGUGCAGUGGGUAUGUGAUUUGUUAGUGUUAAUCUGCAUCUGUUUCUUUUUAUUGCUGCUUGGGGGCAUAUUUGUACAAAGAAUGGCCAUUUCAACAAAGCUUACAUGCUCCCCAAAUGCAGAUCUGAAGUCCUGCCAGGCAUCUGCGGAUGGGAAGAAGUCAGUAUUGUGAAAAGCAUGUCCCUUCCUCUCAUUGUCAUUUGUAUUGAAUUAGUGAUAUUACUGCAGUGCCUAGAGGCUGCAAAUUAGGUUUAGGGUCUCAUUCUGUUGGGUCCUGUGCCAGAAAAUCAGAUGACACUGGCACUGCCUUAGGGAGCCUGCAAUUUUGCAAACCUGCCAUGCGCAAAUGUACUUACAAGACCCAUUUGAUUUGGAGGGAAGGGAUGAAGGAAUGUCAAGACAGAUUUGGUUUGCUAUUUGUAGCAUGACGAGGAGCAAGUGAUCCCAUUGCACUGAUCAGAGCCAACAGGAGUGAGGAAAAGAGCUAGGCAAACUGCUGGCCGCUCACCUAUAGCACUGUCUCUGUCUGUACUUGGCAAAGAGCAUAACUUCACACUGUUGGGCUGGAAGCACUUGCAAGUCCAGAAACAAGUUGCUGUACCCUUUGCAGGGUGAAAGUCACCCCAGCCCUCCCAGGAACAGACUUUCUGCUAUGGCCCACGUGUCCUGUGAUGGAACCUAUUCUCUGAGCAAACAGAAAGGGGCACGGUCCUACUUACACUGGUGUGAUAACGAUCAGCCACCUAAUCUGUUACAACCAAAGGGAUGACAUUAAACCGUACAACAUAUUUUAAAGUGGCAAGCGAAAUACUAUGUUAAUUCAGCAGCAGAAUUCUGAUACUUUUUUCUACCACUGGUUUCUUUUUGAUGCAGCAGUCUCAGUAGGACUCAAAGAUUAAAAAAAGUGUUGCAGUUUUAGUAACAUUGGGAACACAUCGGUCAGUGAUAAUUCUCUCAUUUUCCCUUUAUCUGAAACAUUUCAAUUUCUAGGAAAGUAGCAUUUUUUUCUUUCCCUCUUCCCCCGCCCCCACUUGUACUGUAGUGUAAUGGAUCACAGACGACAAAUAAGUCAAUAAGCCUAACCAGUAUAUUAUGCCUUCUUUUAAAGAUGAGAUCUGAAGUCUACAUUUGAGAAGGUACAUGGCACAGCAUUUCCCUAACUAUGUAGCAUUUCCCUAGCUUUCAAAAAAGUGUUUUUCUUCAUGGUCGUUUCUGAUAAUGUUCUGUGAGUCCAAACAAAGUUGUUCCUUUCCUAAAAUGCCUUCACCAACUCCCCCCUUUUUAUAUGUGGGUACUUCAUUUUGGUUUUCCUUUGUGAACUCACUCAACUAGUUACUGAUUCUGACAUUAAUAUUGACCUAGAAAACUAUUCAUUCCAAGCUCUGCCUGGAAAUAAAACACCUCUGUUAAAAAGAUAAUGUGGAUUUUGCAAACAAAUGCAGACAAGAGAGGACAGAUAACAUUUUAGGCCUAUGACUUCGACAGUAUCCCUUUGAUGUACCAAGCCUUUCUAGCUGCAAAUGAUUUUCCAUCUCAGCUCUGCGGAUCUAGGAGUCUGAGCAGCACAGAAUGAGUGCCAGGGUGGCACAAUUGUUAGCCAUUGCCUUUUAUCCAGUCUGUGAACUUGCAAUGACAGAAACUGAAGAUUUCAGCCCUUCUAGCCUAAGUAGCAAGCUUGAACUCUCUCUGAACUCAGUAUGUGUUGAAGGCUGAAAUAGUUCAAAAGGAAAGAAUGAAGGAAUUUAUAAAGAUGAAAACUGUGUAGUUUCAUAUUCUGGGUGAUGGUGCCUGCAUUGCUGUGCUGGCACAGCCAGAUCUAAAUGCUGUUGCAGUGUGAAAGGGAAACUUUGCAUAUGUGAUUAGUCUUUUAACUGAUGCUCCUCUGAUUAAAGGUGUUGCUACCUUUCUGCUGCUACAGGCCAGAUAGACAGAUGUAUCAUAAAAUCAAACAAAACACUGUCAAUAAAUAAGGGUAGCAACAACCCUGAUUCCUGAAGUUCUGUUAUUAUUUUUUCCUAUCAGGUUCUGGCAAGAGCUGUGGAAAGAAGGAGCCUGUUAGGUGCCGGUGUUUGCUUCCACUGGAAACAAAUGGCUCUCCUGAUAUAGUUAUCUCUGGGGACUGACCUUAAACUGCCAAAUUCAUUCCGUUUAACAUAUCUGCUGGGUUAAGAAGUGGUUUGAGCCUGAUCCCAGGAUGUGCCAGGUGCCUGGGACAGUCUCUUGACGUCAGGGGGUGAGGAGUGGGGUGUUUUGUGUCCUGAGUAUGUGUGGGAAAAACAACUGCAGUGUUAAUCAAGAAUGUGCCCAUUGAAGCAACACUGGGAGACUGCCCCAGAGUCUCUCUGAGGCAGAGGAAAACCUGAAUACUUCUAACUCCAAAAUAAUUUCCUCAGGGUGUUUCAGUACUGACCAAAGUCCAUGUCUUUGACUGUCCAUGACUGUGUCACCUGAGAGCUGACUGUUCCAAGACAGUCCAUACGCUCUCUGCUGGCAUGAAACUUCUGUAGCUUCCCUGAGAUCUUAGAGUUCUUCACUUGUUUACUCCAAUUUAUGGCCUGCCACAAAUGUAAUGGCAAUAUCUGAGGCUGUCGCUAAAGCACUGAAGUCAGGCACGGGAGAUGGUGUGCAAAGAAAGCAGACGCUAGGGCAGAGGCCGCUUGCUUCCUCAGUGCUGCCCUUAGACUGCCAUCUGCUAAGGGAUUUGAUUGGUUUACAUGUGAUGCAUCCUUGCAGGAAAUGUCCACAUUAAGCUACAUGUGCCUGAGGAACAGAGCAUCAAGAGAAAAACAGCUGAUGAAAGAAAUAAAAUCUGGCUGUUAUUUCCUUUGAGGAUGGACAACAUAAGAAAAGGAGAUAAUCGGUUGCCCAAGGCCACUCAGUGGCUGCCUGAGGAGAGAAGCAGAGGAGGACUGCUCCUAUUCACAUCCAAGAGAGAAGGAAUUCCAAGGAAAACUCAGUGCAGAGGAAGCAUUGGUGAUAACAAUAGAUGUCAUGGACAAAGAACAGUAGCUGUUGAGAAAUUACACUGACUCUAGAAUUACAUUAGACUUGGGACAAAAUGUACCUGUCUUUGCUGCUGAACUCAAAGCCAGUAUGCUGUUGAAAAUCAGGAUAGAGGCCCUGCUGCAUUCUGGACUGCCCCUGAAACCUAUUUAUUUAAAUGACUGAACUUUGUGGGGACACAGUAGACUGUUUCCUGUUAGUUGAGACCUUUAGAAAAUUACAACAUUAGCAGUUACUGUGACACACAUUAAAUUACUCAUACGGUGAACCCGACAGGAUAGGGUGAUGUUCCUUUUCAGGUGUAUGAUUCACAAAAUGGGUGAGUUUUUACAGCAAAUCUUGAAAGGAAGAAGGAACCCUUUUAAAUGACUGGUUUAGCCCUGUUCUGCCUUUUGUUAUGAUUAAAGAUUAUAGUGUAAAUAACAGUCCAGUCCUAAUGCAGAAGAUGUUACAGCGGACAGUGGAUAAAGGGUUGUUUACAUCAGGCAGAAGUAGCUCAGACUCACUGGUUUGGUCUGGGUGAAGUGCUGCUGUGGACAGAAAGCCUCACCGCCUCAUCACUCCUCUUUCUGUAAGGGUGGAGACUGGCUGUGCCCACAAGGUGAUUUUCCAUAGCUUCUAUAGCAAAUUUUUCAGGAGCACCUCUGUACUGACUGUCCAUGAUGACCGCACAAGUCCAUAAUAGCCAGGCAGAGAGGAAUUUCUUAGCUUUUCUAGGCCAUAUAAUGAUGGAUGUUCCUAGACCGGUGGUCGGUUUCUCUCUCUGCAUGUCAUGAGAGGCGAAGAUAAACUUCCUUGUACCAGACACUCUAAGGCUCUAAGGUGACCAUGGCACACAUGCACAUGGCAACACGGACACAUUCCUAGUGGCCUGUUACCCUGCCUGAACACGUGUUUUUGAAGGAAGGGCUACUGCAUUUGGAAAUUUUGCCCAUCAAACUAGUUGAAGGUAACCUGAAGCUCUCCAGAGUGGUGAACACAAUAGUAGUGAUACAUGUGGUUCUCCAUGUAUGUGAGGAUGGAAGAGGUUGAAGUGAGAUUGAGAAUAAAGAUACAUUUUCAUCUAGUGCCCCUUUCAUUGUCUGUUAUAUUAGCUGCUCUCUUUUCCACACCAUUAACAGUAUAAGUAUACUCUCUUAUCAGCUUAAAGGUCUUAAAAUACAGUAUUUCACAUGUGGAUUAUGUGCAACUCUAACUCAUGCUGAUGAAUUCCUCUUUGAGGUGAAGUCGUAGAGAAAUGCUGCAAGGUUGCAUGGCUUUUCUGUGUCACAGAAAUAUCAGA